This 298-nucleotide long non-coding RNA is filed under the name Sorghum bicolor (sorghum). Its description in RNAcentral is "long non-coding RNA (SBIC_LNC009229)". The record is from RNAcentral. Lineage: Eukaryota; Viridiplantae; Streptophyta; Magnoliopsida; Poales; Poaceae.
GUGCCUCUACUCAAGGCCUAGCAUUCGCGCUACCACUAUUUUAGAUCUCGCAGUGGUGUUGAGGUCCCGUGCUAUCGACCUGAGCAAUUCGUUGAGCCUCUCUUCACGGUAGUAGAAUCCCCCGCGUCAUUUUAUUUCUUUUUUUCUCCUCUUUGUGUGCCGCUAAAUGACACCAAACUCCAUCUCUGUCUCGUCCCCAACCAUGAUAAGUCCCUAGGUGAGCUAGUCUUCGCCUCUGAUUUGUCCUUGUGCCCUUAGUUAGUCUAACCAUGGCCUCUAGGGCCCUAUCUAUGUUCGC